UAAUUCUUUCUAGGCAAAUCGUCCACAUAAACAACGUGGCUAAUGCGACUGGUAAAAAGUUGCAAGUCAGAAUCGUAUAACACACUCUCACGAUGCUAAUGCCAUGAUAAAUGUCCAGAGAAUCAGUUGCGCGAGAAUCGCGUUGUGGUGACAUUCUUGUCAGAAGUUGAUUGGCAAAAGUUAUAGUAUAUGUAAGAGUCCGGCGAAAAGGUUUCCUUCGUCAAGCCCAGACUACGCUGUAGUGUAGUGCACACGAAACACUGGUCCAGCAUCGAGAAGUGGUUUCCGUGAAACUUUGAAAAUACCGCGCUUACGGAAACGAGGAAGAAGAGAAACGGAAUCCCGUUUCCUAGUUCGCAGCUUCCCACUCGAUCUUCGUCGAACCUGAUCUUCGUGCAUCCGUAGCCGAAGGUGAACCAGUUAGGAGCAAUCGUGACUCUGGUACGUCCACGAUUCACGCUGAGAAAGGGACCUAAUCGAAGCAACCGGUUUAUAAGAGCGUCGACGGGCGAAUGGUUCAUUCAGUUCAGCCAACGCGAUCAAAGUCAAACGAGUUCCCCGCCGUCUAUCUGGCAUACCUCAUCUAACACGCGAAACGUGCUCCACGUUUUGCUGGAUUUUACGUGGUGGAAGUCAACUCCAGUGCGCGUUCUGCAAACAGUGAUAGUUUCGAAUCGAGAUAUCAUUCACACGGUGGAAUGUUGCUUUCUUGAAGUGAAUCACAAGGUAGCCUAAUAGGUACCCUAAGAAAUUCGUUCAUUUCAAAUCGGAGGAUUUCUCUUGCCUGAAGAAAAAUAGCAAAAGGAGGGGGAGAUUCGAAUACGGGAACAAGUGGAUUCUACAAAAUUAUACUCGAUUGGUGCGGAUAUGUCGGUAUUAAAAUGAAUCACAAGACAACUUAAAGCUACUCCACGAGAUUCGUUCAUUAAAAAUAGGAAGAUCAUACUUCUUCGAAUAAAAGAA
Hylaeus anthracinus is the source of this 963-nucleotide long non-coding RNA. RefSeq lists it as uncharacterized. The transcript has 2 exons. NCBI's taxonomy places the organism in Eukaryota, Metazoa, Arthropoda, Insecta, Hymenoptera, Colletidae. The record is from RefSeq and is a predicted model, not a curated record.